This 379-nucleotide ribosomal RNA is filed under the name uncultured Thermovirga sp. RNAcentral's name for it is "bacterial SSU rRNA". It matches the Rfam family "Bacterial small subunit ribosomal RNA", at positions 76 to 485 of the family's 1533-position model. Lineage: Bacteria; Thermotogati; Synergistota; Synergistia; Synergistales; Thermovirgaceae. The record is from RNAcentral.
GCUGGAAGGCGCAGAUAGUGGCGGACGGGUGAGUAACGCGUGAGGACAUGUCUGCAGGAGGGGGAUAACGUUUGGAAACGGACGCUAAGACCCCGUAAGCCGGGAGGUAAAAGUGGCGAAAGCCAGCCUGUGGAGUGACUCGCGUCCUAUCAGCUAGUUGGCGGGGUGAAGGCCCACCAAGGCGAUGACGGGUAGCCGACCUGAGAGGGUGGCCGGCCACACUGGAACUGAGUUUUGGUCCAGACUCCUACGGGAGGCAGCAGUGGGGAAUAUUGGGCAAUGGGCGGAAGCCUGACCCAGCGACGCCGCGUGGGGGAAGAAGUCUUUCGGGAUGUAAACCCUUGUUGUACGGGACGAAGGAAGUGACGGUACCGUACGA